Molecule: ribosomal RNA, 482 nt
Filed under: uncultured bacterium
Lineage: Bacteria
Description: partial 16S ribosomal RNA
Rfam family: Bacterial small subunit ribosomal RNA
Source: RNAcentral
GACGAACGCUGGCGGCGUGCUUAACACAUGCAAGUCGAACGCUGAAGCUCAGCUUGCUGGGUGGAUGAGUGGCGAACGGGUGAGUAACACGUGAGUAACCUGCCCUCUUCUUUGGGAUAACGCCCGGAAACGGGUGCUAAUACUGGAUAUUCACUGAUUCUCGCAUGGGGGUUGGUGGAAAGGUUUUUUCUGGUGGGGGAUGGGCUCGCGGCCUAUCAGCUUGUUGGUGGGGUGAUGGCCUACCAAGGCUUUGACGGGUAGCCGGCCUGAGAGGGUGACCGGUGACAUUGGGACUGAGAUACGGCCCAGACUCAUACGGGAGGCAGCAGUGGGGAAUAUUGCACAAUGGGAGAAAGCCUGAUGCAGAGACGCCACGUGAGGGAUGGAGGCCUUCGGGUUGUAAACCUCUUUCGCUCAUGGUCAAGCCGCAGCGUUGGGUUGUGGUGAGGGUAGUGGGUAAAGAAGCGCCGGCUAACUACGUG